UACGAAGGGGGCUAGCGUUGCUCGGAAUCACUGGGCGUAAAGGGUGCGUAGGCGGGUCUUUAAGUCAGGGGUGAAAUCCUGGAGCUCAACUCCAGAACUGCCUUUGAUACUGAAGAUCUUGAGUUCGGGAGAGGUGAGUGGAACUGCGAGUGUAGCGGUGAAAUGCGUAGAUAUCGGGAGGAACACCUGUGGCGAAAGCGGCUACCUGGACAAAUGCUGACGCUGAGGCGCGAAAGCGUGGGGAGCAAACAGG
This 253-nucleotide ribosomal RNA is filed under the name uncultured bacterium. RNAcentral describes it as "partial 16S ribosomal RNA". It matches the Rfam family "Bacterial small subunit ribosomal RNA", at positions 524 to 776 of the family's 1533-position model. The record is from RNAcentral.